RNAcentral lists this ribosomal RNA (492 nucleotides) under uncultured bacterium. RNAcentral's name for it is "partial 16S ribosomal RNA". It matches the Rfam family "Bacterial small subunit ribosomal RNA", at positions 29 to 507 of the family's 1533-position model. The record is from RNAcentral.
AGUGAACGCUGGCGGUAGGCCUAACACAUGCAAGUCGAACGGCAGCACAGUAAGAGCUUGCUCUUACGGGUGGCGAGUGGCGGACGGGUGAGGAAUACAUCGGAAUCUACUUUUUCGUGGGGGAUAACGUAGGGAAACUUACGCUAAUACCGCAUACGACCUACGGGUGAAAGCAGGGGAUCUUCGGACCUUGCGCGAUUGAAUGAGCCGAUGUCGGAUUAGCUAGUUGGCGGGGUAAAGGCCCACCAAGGCGACGAUCCGUAGCUGGUCUGAGAGGAUGAUCAGCCACACUGGAACUAAGACACGGUCCAGACUCCUACGGGAGGCAGCAGUGGGGAAUAUUGGACAAUGGGCGCAAGCCUGAUCCAGCCAUACCGCGUGGGUGAAGAAGGCCUUCGGGUUGUAAAGCCCUUUUGUUGGGAAAGAAAAGCAGCAGGUUAAUACCCCGCUGUUCUGGCGGUACCCAAAGAAUAAGCACCGGCUAACUUCGUG